GAGAUUUAGGAGAGAGGAAAGCCUCAUAAUUUAGCUUUAUAAAACUAAGUGUAACACUCGAGCAAUAUAUACUGUAGAAUACCCACAGGCUGUGGGCAGGGGGCUGUUUCUUGUGUAUUUGCCUGGUCGUGAAGAAACUAGCAUGACUGUUCUUGAAUUUAUCACCCCAUUGGCAGAAUCGUGAGAACAAGGGAAGUAUGAUUGACAAGAGUAAUACCCUAAAGUCCUGACAGCAAAGUGGAGAAGGGUUUGUUCUACUUAAACUAUUAUGAAUCCUAUUCCCUUGAAGUGGGGUGGUGAUAAUACUUUGUCAGCCCUUGUGAUGUGACAGGCAUUCUGAGUUCUAUAGCAUUUACUCUGAUUCAGGAAGCUGGACUAAUGUCUGUCUUCACAAUGUUACCCUAUAACUCCCGGCUUGGUUCUAUGUUUGGUAACGUUGACACUGGAGGAUGUGAAUGUGAAUAGAAAAAGACUCAUGUUCUGGAUACAUUUGUGGUCUAUUUGGGGAAAGAAAACACAAGCAUAUAAAAUAAGUAUGAUACAAGACAUGGCUCAUGCCUUGUCGGAUGGGUAGCAGAGAAAAAAGCGUUGUAAUAGUUCAAGGGGUGGGUGGCUUUUGUGGAGUGGGGUGGGGGAUGAAAGGACUGAUUCACAGAGGAGGAGCAAUAAUUGACAGAAUGCAACUAGGCCAUGCAAAUACAGGGUUGCUAGGAGUGUUGGUACAGCCAGUUAGGAGAGCAAUUUGGCAAAAUCCAUUAUAAUUAUCCAUGAGUAUAAACUGCCAGUUGUCAAGAGCCUUUCUUGAGAAAUACAUAUUCUCAGAAGGAGGCAUGUCUGAGAAUUUCACCUGCAGCUGUGGAUGUAGUGGUGUUAACUGGGGACAAGCUAAAGAAAUAAUUUAACCCAUGGCCAUACAACAGAGUCCAAUGUGGGCAGGAAAGAUAAUCAGAUCACUCUACAUUAGAAACAUGGUAAAACAUCCAAGACAUAAUGUUAAAUGACAUGAAAAGUCAUGUGCAAAAUGACAGCCCCUUCCCUUUUGCCUGCCUUGUAGGCUGUACCUAUUUCCAUCACCUGCAUCACUUACUUGGAAUUCUGUUUCUACGCCCAAACUUUAAUUAACUUUCAAGUUUAAGAGUCCCCAUCGUGGCUUAGUGGUAACGAACCUGACUAGUAGCCAUGAAGAUUUGGGUUCGAUCUCUGACCUUGCUCAGUGGGUCGGGGAUCUGGUAUUGCCGUGAGCUGUGAUGUAAGUCUCAGGCAUGGCUCGGAUCCCGAGUUGCUGUGGCUGUGGUGUAGGUUGGCAGCUGCCGCUCUGAUUUGACCCCUAGCCUGGGAACCUCUAUAUGCUACAGGUGUGGCCCUAUAAAGACAAAACAGGAGUUCCCAUCGUGGCGCAGUGGUUAACGAAUCCAACUAGGAACCAUGUGGUCGUGGGUUUGAUCCCUGCCCUUGCUCAGUGGGUUAAGGAUCCAGCGUUGCCAUGAGCUGUGGUGUAGGUUACAGACGCGGCUCGGAUCCCGCAUUGCUGUGGCUCUGGCGCAGGCCGGCAGCCACAGCUCCAAUUAGACCCCUAGCCUGGGAACCUCCAUAUGCUGUGGAAGUGGCCCUCAAGAGGCAAAAAGACCAAAAAAAAAAAAAAAAAAAAAAAA
RNAcentral lists this long non-coding RNA (1652 nucleotides) under Sus scrofa (pig). RNAcentral describes it as "lncRNA (ENSSSCG00030006563.1)". Lineage: Eukaryota; Metazoa; Chordata; Mammalia; Artiodactyla; Suidae. The record is from RNAcentral.